AGGACGAACGCUGGCGGCGUGCUUAACACAUGCAAGUCGAGCGGUAAGGCCCUUCGGGGUACACGAGCGGCGAACGGGUGAGUAACACGUGAGCAAUCUACCCAUCACAUCGGGAUAACUCCGGGAAACCGAAGCUAAUACCGAAUACGACCACUUCAGGCAUCUGACGGUGGUGGAAAGUUCUGGCGGUGAUGGAUGAGCUCGCGGCCUAUCAGCUUGUUGGUGGGGUAAUGGCCCACCAAGGCUUCGACGGGUAGCCGGCCUGAGAGGGUGACCGGCCACACUGGGACUGAGACACGGCCCAGACUCCUACGGGAGGCAGCAGUGGGGAAUAUUGGACAAUGGGCGAAAGCCUGAUCCAGCAACGCCGCGUGAGGGAUGACGGCCUUCGGGUUGUAAACCUCUUUCAGCAGGGACGAAGCGAAAGUGACGGUACCUGCAGAAGAAGCACCGGCCAACUACGUGCCAGCAGCCGC
This 476-nucleotide ribosomal RNA is filed under the name uncultured bacterium. RNAcentral's name for it is "SSU rRNA". It matches the Rfam family "Bacterial small subunit ribosomal RNA", at positions 26 to 518 of the family's 1533-position model. The record is from RNAcentral.